This 452-nucleotide ribosomal RNA is filed under the name uncultured cyanobacterium. Its description in RNAcentral is "bacterial SSU rRNA". It matches the Rfam family "Bacterial small subunit ribosomal RNA", at positions 8 to 504 of the family's 1533-position model. Lineage: Bacteria; Bacillati; Cyanobacteriota. The record is from RNAcentral.
AGAGUUUGAUCAUGGCUCAGGAUGAACGCUGGCGGUCUGCUUAACACAUGCAAGUCGAACGGAAGUAGCAAUACUUUAGUGGCGGACGGGUGAGUAACGCGUGAGAAUCUACCUUCAGGACGGAGACAACAGUUGGAAACGACUGCUAACCCCCGAUGUACCGCAAGGGCAAAUAUUUAUAGCCUGAAGAAGAGCUCGCGUCCGAUUAGCUAGUUGGGGGGGUAAAAGCCCACCAAGGCGACGAUCGGUAGCUGGUCUGAGAGGACGAUCAGCCACACUGGGACUGAGACACGGCCCAGACUCCUACGGGAGGCAGCAGUGGGGAAUUUUCCGCAAUGGGCGCAAGCCUGACGGAGCAAGACCGCGUGGGGGAGGAAGGCUCUUGGGUUGUAAACCCCUUUUCUCUGGGAAGAACAAAAUGACGGUACCAGAGAAUCAGCUCGACUCCCCAC